AUAACCGUGAAAUAGAUCUAGAUCUAUAACUUCAAUAAGUUUUCAUUAUAAUUUAAAUUUAAGUUUUUUUAUCUACUUAAAUGCUUAUCUUUAACCAGCUUUAUAGAAUAAAAUAGCUACUAACGAUGUGAAUCAGUAAAAUUUGUUUGUUUUGAAAUGAUUCGCCCCACUCUUGAUUCGCCCAACACCCGAUUCGCCCACAUUACUUUUGGAAGAAAAAAAUGAUCAUGUAAUUGUGACAUGUCACAAAAUUUCGGCGUGUGACAUUGCUAAUCAUGAGAAAAGACAUUAUAAAACCAUAUUUUUUUAUAUUUAAUGAUAUAUAAUAUUAUCCUAGACUGGUGUAUCCUGUUGUCUCUUAUUAUCGUGGGGCUAAGUAGUUCUGGCUUCUAAAACUUUAUAAGCCGCUAUUUAACAUUUUUGUUUGUCAUCUGAUGCAGCAUUAAAGUUUAGACCCGUUACGAAACCUAAACGGAAUAACAUAAGUUGAUUUAACCUUAUUUUUCACUUGCAAAUACACUUGACCAAAUCAAUUCUUGUGCAUUUUACAAUAAAACAAUUCUUUUAACAUUGUUCUAUACCAAUUAAAGUAUCGAAAUAUUAAUACCGUCAUUAAAAUUGCCUUUUUAACUGUAAAACAUCAAUAACGCCGACCACAGUGGGCCAUGACAUUUAGGUGCCACGCGAGACCUCGUAUGACAUCAUUCACGGCAGGAUGGAAAAAUGAGAUAAUGCAUUUCAUACAAAACAUCUUAAAUAAAGUACCAGGCAAGAGAAGGCUAGGAGUUUACAGGUUUAUGCCAUUCUUCUUUGUUUAUGGAGCUCUUUUAGAAUUGGCUAUGAUCAAGUGGACUGUGAAUGGUCACAACUUUUGUAA
This is a long non-coding RNA of Ruditapes philippinarum (Manila clam), 877 nucleotides long. RefSeq lists it as uncharacterized. The record is from RefSeq and is a predicted model, not a curated record. NCBI's taxonomy places the organism in Eukaryota, Metazoa, Mollusca, Bivalvia, Venerida, Veneridae. The transcript is spliced from 2 exons.